Molecule: transfer RNA, 65 nt
Filed under: Dendrobaena veneta
Lineage: Eukaryota; Metazoa; Annelida; Clitellata; Crassiclitellata; Lumbricidae
Description: tRNA-Gly
Source: RNAcentral
AUGUUUUGAGUAUAUCAGUACAUUUACCUUCCAAGUAAAAAGAUAAUUUAAAAAUUAAAAACAUA